GGGAGCAGGAGGGUCGCUGACAGUGUACGACACUGAGGAAAGUCCCCUCUCCACGACGCAAGUGGCCCGGUUCAUUCCGGGGGCCCGGGAGGGCCGGCUCUGCAGCAGAAACGAACCGCAGCGGGUGUGUGCGAUGAAGCCGAAAGGUGGAGAUCGCCCGUGGACGGAUGGAACGAGCACCCCCACUGGAGCAAGUCCAAACAGCCCCGACGAAGCGCGUCGACGAGGGGCGGGUCGGACGCUCAGUUGAAUGCGACCAGCCAUAUGGUGAACAGAAAGGGGCUUACUCCCUGCACCC
Non-coding RNA from Euryarchaeota archaeon TMED255, 298 nucleotides. NCBI's taxonomy places the organism in Archaea, Methanobacteriati, Methanobacteriota. The record is from Rfam.